GACGAACGCUGGCGGCGUGCUUAACACAUGCAAGUCGAACGGAAAGGCCCUGCUUUUGUGGGGUGCUCGAGUGGCGAACGGGUGAGUAACACGUGAGUAACCUGCCCUUGACUUUGGGAUAACUUCAGGAAACUGGGGCUAAUACCGGAUAGGAGCUCCUGCUGCAUGGUGGGGGUUGGAAAGUUUCGGCGGUUGGGGAUGGACUCGCGGCUUAUCAGCUUGUUGGUGGGGUAGUGGCUUACCAAGGCUUUGACGGGUAGCCGGCCUGAGAGGGUGACCGGCCACAUUGGGACUGAGAUACGGCCCAGACUCCUACGGGAGGCAGCAGUGGGGAAUAUUGCACAAUGGGCGGAAGCCUGAUGCAGCAACGCCGCGUGCGGGAUGACGGCCUUCGGGUUGUAAACCGCUUUCGCCUGUGACGAAGCGUGAGUGACGGUAAUGGGUAAAGAAGCACCGGCUAACUACGUGCCAGCAGCCGCGGUGAUACGUAGGGUGCGAGCGUUGUCCGGAUUUAUUGGGCGUAAAGGGCUCGUAGGUGGUUGAUCGCGUCGGAAGUGUAAUCUUGGGGCUUAACCCUGAGCGUGCUUUCGAUACGGGUUGACUUGAGGAAGGUAGGGGAGAAUGGAAUUCCUGGUGGAGCGGUGGAAUGCGCAGAUAUCAGGAGAAACACCAGUGGCGAAGGCGGUUCUCUGGGCCUUUCCUGACGCUGAGGAGCGAAAGCGUGGGAGCGAACAGGCUUAGAUACCCUGGUAGUCCACGCUGUAAACGGUGGGUACUAGGUGUGGGGUCCAUUCCACGGGUUCCGUGCCGUAGCUAACGCUUUAAGUACCCCGCCUGGGGAGUACGGCCGCAAGGCUAAAACUCAAAGGAACUGACGGGGCCCCGCACAAGCGGCGGAGCAUGCGGAUUAAUUCGAUGCAACGCGUAGAACCUUACCUGGGUUUGACAUGGAUCGGGAGUGCUCAGAGAUGGGUGUGCCUCUUUUGGGGUCGGUUCACAGGUGGUGCAUGGCUGUCGUCAGCUCGUGUCGUGAGAUGUUGGGUUAAGUCCCGCAACGAGCGCAACCCUUGUUCACUGUUGCCAGCACGUUAUGGUGGGGACUCAGUGGAGACCGCCGGGGUCAACUCGGAGGAAGGUGGGGAUGACGUCAAGUCAUCAUGCCCCUUAUGUCCAGGGCUUCACGCAUGCUACAAUGGCUGGUACAGAGAGUGGCGAGCCUGUGAGGGUGAGCGAAUCUCGGAAAGCCGGUCUCAGUUCGGAUUGGGGUCUGCAACUCGACCUCAUGAAGUCAGAGUCGCUAGUAAUCGCAGAUCAGCAACGCUGCGGUGAAUACGUUCCCGGG
RNAcentral lists this ribosomal RNA (1342 nucleotides) under uncultured bacterium. Its description in RNAcentral is "16S ribosomal RNA". It matches the Rfam family "Bacterial small subunit ribosomal RNA", at positions 28 to 1378 of the family's 1533-position model. The record is from RNAcentral.